GUGGGUAUCUUGUACCCCUAAUUCUACUGUCGGACACUUGUCCAUUUUUACCUCUUGUCUCACUUUUUUUGAGGUUCCGGGCACUUGCCCCUUUUUAUUUCCUCGUAUCUCUCUCUUUUUUUAAAGUCAUCUCCUGAAAUAAUAUAGCAAGUGGUAGUAACCAAGAUAACUUGAGCAUUUAUUUCACAGGGGAAAAACAGAAAUAUUUUUGGCUAUUCUCUCCCGGAUUAGGAGUAGAAUAUUUUUGGGUGGUUCUGGAGAUGGAAAUGGGUGGAUAUAUGUGGAUGC
This 288-nucleotide long non-coding RNA is filed under the name Sorghum bicolor (sorghum). RNAcentral describes it as "long non-coding RNA (SBIC_LNC014373)". Lineage: Eukaryota; Viridiplantae; Streptophyta; Magnoliopsida; Poales; Poaceae. The record is from RNAcentral.